This 253-nucleotide ribosomal RNA is filed under the name uncultured bacterium. Its description in RNAcentral is "partial 16S ribosomal RNA". It matches the Rfam family "Bacterial small subunit ribosomal RNA", at positions 524 to 776 of the family's 1533-position model. The record is from RNAcentral.
UACGGAGGGAGCUAGCGUUGUUCGGAAUUACUGGGCGUAAAGCGCGCGUAGGCGGCUAUUCAAGUCAGAGGUGAAAGCCCGGGGCUCAACCCCGGAACUGCCUUUGAAACUAGGUAGCUAGAAUCUUGGAGAGGUCAGUGGAAUUCCGAGUGUAGAGGUGAAAUUCGUAGAUAUUCGGAAGAACACCAGUGGCGAAGGCGACUUACUGGACACAUAUUGACGCUGAGGUGCGAAAGCGUGGGGAGCAAACAGG